GUAAUAAAUACGCCACGAGUCUCCUUGGGUAAAGGAGGCAUACCCCAUCCAAUCGUUACAAGGUAUGAGCAGACACAGUGAGGUUAAAACCUAUAAAAAACAACUCCAAAGCGAAAUCAGUGCGUGGAUUAUUACUGUCAUUAUUAAGCAAAAACAUGGUAAGCGACCGCCGACAGUUUGUGCCCAUGCGUUAAACUGCCAGGGGACCGCCAACCUGCUAAAGCGAACGGUUGUGUAGAAGCCUUGCCCAUGCGUUAGCCUCACAGAGAACGUUAAUAAUUCAAGCACGUUAGGUGAAAGAACAGCCCGAAAAUAAGUAAAACACACACCAAAUCAUUGUGGGAGAAUGGGUUCAGGGUGAAGUGAACCAAUUAUAUACAUUAUACUCUCAAACUGUGGUCAACCCAAAGACUCAUUAAGCCUUAUGUUUUCAUCCCGCAGGCGUAUAUAUAAGACCUGCUAGGAGAGACUGAAUGCUCCAUAGGAGCUCUGCCCGAAGGGUAGCGACCCCCUCUGACAUAGACCUGAACCAAGGGGCGAUAAUCCCCUUGGACAGUACCUACCUAUAUUUACAUAAAUAACCUGAGUCUAUGGGCCUGAAGAUGACCAUUGGGAACACGUCAACCCCACAAAUACACAGCAUGUGUAUUCCCCAUAGGCGAACUCCCACCACAGCUGUAUUUGUAUACAAGACAGCUGCUGCCAGAUGAUAGUUAGACAUAUAUUUGGGCAUUACCAUCACUCAUACUAUAGCUGGAUAGUCAGGGAGGCCAGAAAAAACCUGGAAUAUACAGGAAACCUGGAUGGGGCCAAGACAACCAGCAGCUUCCCCACAAAGCUUCUAUCUUACAAUUUUUUAAUUGGAGGGUUGGUAACACGACAAACAAAGCUCACUAUCGAGGCACAUUUUAUUUAUUUUUAUUUUAUUUUUUUUUUAAAGUUAAUGUGUUCAUAAAUACGUUUUGCACAACAUUUAUUUGUUAACCACACUUAUUUUAUUUCAAUUAUGAUCAGUGGAACUUUCUCGAAUUAUGUGACAUUACUCUCAGAAAAAUAGCUUAUUCAUUACUUUAAUUCAAAAUAGCAAGACCAAAAUUUUGCGAACGAACAUCCGAUCAUGCAUGCAUGAUAUUAGCAGAAAGAAAUUGUAAGAAUAUGUAUGUGGUAGCCAAAAUAGAUUAUAUGCAGUAAAUAAUAGUACAUCAAAGGAUUUUCAAUUUUCAAAAGCGUAGGCAUACAUGGUAUCGUACCAAUCUUUCCUGAUAUCCAUCUUGCCGAUUUAUCGCAAAUGUGCAUAAACAUAUAUCAUAUGCAGAGUUUUAAGUCUCAAAUUUCGUUCACAAAUGAGCUUGCUUUCUUAAGUUUUGAACAGUAAAGUAUUGAAAAUGUAUGCAGGUCAAAUUAAUUUUGUGAAAUAGCUGAAAAAGAAGUUUUAUAAUUCUACUUUUGAGCGAUUGAAUACAGUUUAAUGUAAGGCCUGAUUGAAACCCAAUCCAACGCCAAAUCUGAGGCGUAAUCUGAAGCUUUUUGAAUCUGCGGCUAACCUCAAGGUAGUAAUAAAAUUGUCAUUGGAAUUUUUGAUCGACAAAUAUAAAUACACCAGAAUCACAGAAUGUUGUUAUAAAAUAGACGAAUUUGAAUACAUUUUGGUUGGUUUGAGAUGCGGAAUAUGAAACAAACGUGUCAAUGCACCGCAUACUUACGCGCCGAAUACCGCUUCACUUUGGGAAUCAUGUGCAUUGAGACAUGGAAUGAUAUCAAUUGAACGCUUGUUGAUUUCAUGUUUAGCGGCUUUAGUCUAUCGAUCUUGUUGAUAUUCCCCCAGCGGCGGUUUCAUUUAAUGGUAAUAACUUCGUUGGGACUUGGGCGCUUGUCCGGUAGAGUUCUAUUUGAAUAAACUGCGUCUCACUGAAUUAUCAUACUGAGUUACUGACCAAAUUUUCUUUAAUAUAACCAUAUGUCAAUUCCAGCGUUCAUAGACUCUUUUAUGUCACAUUGUCUCAGUUCAUUCGAUGUCCGUAAUUCUUUACAGC
RNAcentral lists this long non-coding RNA (2033 nucleotides) under Paramuricea clavata. Lineage: Eukaryota; Metazoa; Cnidaria; Anthozoa; Malacalcyonacea; Plexauridae. The record is from RNAcentral.